GCAUCUAUACUGUGAAACUGCGAAUGGCUCAUUAAAUCAGUUAUCGUUUAUUUGAUAGUACCUUACUACUUGGAUAACCGUGGUAAUUCUAGAGCUAAUACAUGCUAAAAACCCCGACUUCGGAAGGGGUGUAUUUAUUAGAUAAAAAACCAAUGCCCUUCGGGGCUCCUUGGUGAUUCAUGAUAACUUAACGAAUCGCAUGGCCUUGCGCCGGCGAUGGUUCAUUCAAAUUUCUGCCCUAUCAACUUUCGAUGGUAGGAUAGUGGCCUACCAUGGUAUCAACGGGUAACGGGGAAUUAGGGUUCUAUUCCGGAGAGGGAGCCUGAGAAACGGCUACCACAUCCAAGGAAGGCAGCAGGCGCGCAAAUUACCCAAUCCCGACACGGGGAGGUAGUGACAAUAAAUACUGAUACAGGGCUCUUUUGGGUCUUGUAAUUGGAAUGAGUACAAUUUAAAUACCUUAACGAGGAACAAUUGGAGGGCAAGUCUGGUGCCAGCAGCCGCGGUAAUUCCAGCUCCAAUAGCGUAUAUUAAAGUUGUUGCAGUUAAAAAGCUCGUAGUUGAACCUUGGGCCUGGCUGGCCGGUCCGCCUCACCGCGUGUACUGGUCCGGCCGGGCCUUUCCUUCUGGGGAUCCGCAUGCCCUUCACUGGGUGUGUCGGGGAACCAGGACUUUUACUUUGAAAAAAUUAGAGUGUUCAAAGCAGGCCUUUGCUCGAAUACAUUAGCAUGGAAUAAUAGAAUAGGACGUGCGGUCCUAUUUUGUUGGUUUCUAGGACCGCCGUAAUGAUUAAUAGGGAUAGUCGGGGGCAUCAGUAUUCAAUUGUCAGAGGUGAAAUUCUUGGAUUUAUUGAAGACUAACUACUGCGAAAGCAUUUGCCAAGGAUGUUUUCAUUAAUCAGUGAACGAAAGUUAGGGGAUCGAAGACGAUCAGAUACCGUCGUAGUCUUAACCGUAAACUAUGCCGACUAGGGAUCGGGCAAUGUUAUUCUUUUGACUCGCUCGGCACCUUACGAGAAAUCAAAGUCU
This 1028-nucleotide ribosomal RNA is filed under the name Dothiorella alpina. RNAcentral's name for it is "SSU rRNA". It matches the Rfam family "Eukaryotic small subunit ribosomal RNA", at positions 69 to 1106 of the family's 1831-position model. The record is from RNAcentral. Lineage: Eukaryota; Fungi; Ascomycota; Dothideomycetes; Botryosphaeriales; Botryosphaeriaceae.